AACGAACGCUGGCGGCGCGCCUAAUACAUGCAAGUCGAGCGAGAAGACGUAGCAAUACGUUUGUAAAGCGGCGAACGGGUGAGGAAUACAUGGGUAACCUACCCUCGAGUGGGGAAUAACUAGCCGAAAGGUUAGCUAAUACCGCGUACGCUCCUUGGACUUCGGUUCAGGGAGGAAAGCGAUACCGUGGGUAUCGCGCUCUUGGAUGGGCUCAUGUCCUAUCAGCUUGUUGGUGAGGUAACGGCUCACCAAGGCCUCGACGGUAGCUGGUCUGAGAGGACGAUCAGCCACACUGGCACUGCGACACGGGCCAGACUCCUACGGGAGGCAGCAGUAAGGAAUAUUGCGCAAUGGGCAAAGCCUGACGCAGCGACGCCGC
This 379-nucleotide ribosomal RNA is filed under the name uncultured bacterium. Its description in RNAcentral is "bacterial SSU rRNA". It matches the Rfam family "Bacterial small subunit ribosomal RNA", at positions 29 to 400 of the family's 1533-position model. The record is from RNAcentral.